Xiphias gladius (swordfish) is the source of this 1785-nucleotide long non-coding RNA. RefSeq lists it as uncharacterized. NCBI's taxonomy places the organism in Eukaryota, Metazoa, Chordata, Actinopteri, Istiophoriformes, Xiphiidae. The transcript is spliced from 4 exons. The record is from RefSeq and is a predicted model, not a curated record.
UAAAUUGCAAAAGAAUUUAAUGUGGACUAUUCAGUACGACAUAAACACCUGACCAUGGCCCAGCUUAUACAUUUCAACAGUAAAUAAGUUACAUCUGAGUGUAACCCUUAACUGGACUUUCGCCUUGUCAACAGGCGCAGACACAACAAUGUACACAGCUGAGUUGUAAAAGCAGUGGACCCACUAGACCUCAAUCAGCAACGGAUGAAAUAAGUGGAGGUCUCCAGGCUCGGAGAGGUUGUGGAAAGUGCCGACAUUCCAUCUGCAGCGGAAAGUCUCCAUGUUGGCGGAGACACAGCCAGUGAGUUCCAGUAUCCAGGGCUCUAAUCUGAACUAAAGGACCACUUGUUCCGGAGCUUUCAAUCACAUCUCAUGAUCUUGAGGAGGCUUUGUGAUAAGUGGUUCUGGGGACAGCCGCGGCACUCAGCUGACCACAUCAACACUUCAGGGAGGAAGGACAACACAAGCCCGGGCUGGCUGAUUACCGAGAAGUGUCAGGACAGGAUGGCUCUUUCGCAGCUGAGAGGCAGCGCGGGGAGCAGAUGAUGAAUACCUCUGGCCUGCUUAGGGCGCUUCAGGGAAGGGGAGUUACAGGGUAAAAAUAACCUGUUUACCAGAUCCCCUCCUCAGAACUGUGCUUAGCUCAGUUAAAAUCAAUUUGACACUCAGUUAUGCGGAGCAUUUUUGUUUCUCGCUUGUCAAGAUAAAUGAGGACAUGUGGGUGGUUUGUAAACACUGUGUGUGCGACAGGGAAAAUGUGUGAAAAAGACAGAUUGCCUUAUUCGUUCAUUUUAUUUUUGGGUUGUGCGAGAGUGCUUGGGUAGAUUCCACUUUUUUUUCACAAUUCCAUUUUGCCAUACCAUUUGCAGUCUACUGAGAUAUCUCUGCUGCAAAUCCACGAGCAGGACUGAUUCCCUGUGAAAUUGAAUCUACAGGAUUGUUCAAUAUCUUUGACGUAAUUUUUUAACUACGUCAAAGUAAUUAAAAAAGCUUGAGCAUGGAAAUUCAGUCUUAACCUUGGGAACAGCAGUGCAUAGUGAAAUAGAGUCAUCUUAACUCAAAGGUCCCCCAUGUUUGAGUUAUGAAAUAACUUGGUUAGUCGGGUUUUUCAUUUACUGGAUUAUUCAAACAAAGACUUUCACAUCUGGGUAAUUCAACCUCUCAAAUUAAUUUCCAGAUUAUUUUGUGUAAUACAAAGUAUAUCAUAAAAUGGUAUAUAAAAAAUUACAUGUGAAGAAAGACAUUUAUUAGUAACUCUGUUUCCUACAAAUUAUGUUUAUAUACUACUAAUUAGCAUUACCACAUACGUUUUGAGGGGAAACAUAAUUACUAUACAUUAGGUGGCAACAUUUCUUCAAGUGAAUGAAAUGCUACUCUAUGUCAAUUUACCAUGCAGGUAUCAGCACAUAGGUAGGAGGUUUGGGCGGAAGGUGGGUAAACAAAAUUGCAGGACUCUGACACAGGAGACACUGGUUCGAAUCCUACGACCCACGUGUGGUUGGGUCUACAUGGCAAAAACACUUUGCUUGAGGUUAGGGAAAUAUGGUGGCUGUGGUUAGGCCAUGUUAAAAAGAAGUAAACACGUCAUUGCGUUGAGGCUCAAGUCAGUGUUGACUUUUUCUGUAUUACACCAAGACCACAAUCCUUCCCUAAACUUAACCCAGGGCUUAAAAAUCACCAUGAAAACUUUUAAACAUGAUUUAAUUGACAUGGGCGGAUACUCAAUUGCAAGAGUGAAUAAUUGAAAUACGCCGUCAUUGAAAAUUUUACUGCUACCUUUUUUUU